UUUAAUUAUCAUAUAUAAAAGUGAAAAUAUAAAAUAUAAAUUAAUUUUAGUUGGGGCAACUGGGAGGGAUAAAAAUCUUUUAUUAAAUCAUUUAUAGUAAUAUUUAUAUUUAUGAUCCAAAUUAGUUAAUUUUGAACUUAGAAU
This 144-nucleotide ribosomal RNA is filed under the name Ledella ultima. Its description in RNAcentral is "partial small subunit ribosomal RNA". Lineage: Eukaryota; Metazoa; Mollusca; Bivalvia; Nuculanida sp.; Nuculanidae. The record is from RNAcentral.